GGAGUCUGGGCCGUGUCUCAGUCCCAAUGUGGCCGAUCGACCUCUCAGUCCGGCUACCGAUCGUCGGCUUGGUGAGCCGUUGCCUCACCAACUAUCUAAUCAGACGCGGGUCCAUCUCACACCACCGGAGUUUUUCACACCAUACCAUGCGGUAUUGUGCGCUUAUGCGGUAUUAUCAGUCGUUUCCAACUGCUAUCCCCCAGUGUGAGGCAGGUUACCCACGCGUUACUCACCCGUCCGCCACUAAGUAUUUCAAAUGAUUCUUUGGAAGCAAGCUUCCUCGGUCUCGGGAGAAAUACUCCGUUCGACUUGCAUGUGUUAAGCACGCCGCCAGCGUUUAUC
This 342-nucleotide ribosomal RNA is filed under the name uncultured Coprococcus sp. RNAcentral describes it as "partial 16S ribosomal RNA". The record is from RNAcentral. Lineage: Bacteria; Bacillati; Bacillota; Clostridia; Lachnospirales; Lachnospiraceae.